Molecule: ribosomal RNA, 253 nt
Filed under: uncultured bacterium
Lineage: Bacteria
Description: partial 16S ribosomal RNA
Rfam family: Bacterial small subunit ribosomal RNA
Source: RNAcentral
UACGAAGGACCCGAGCGUUAUCCGGAAUUAUUGGGCGUAAAGAGCUCGUAGGCGGUUUGUCGCGUCUGCCGUGAAAGUCCGGGGCUCAACUCCGGAUCUGCGGUGGGUACGGGCAGACUAGAGUGAUGUAGGGGAGACUGGAAUUCCUGGUGUAGCGGUGAAAUGCGCAGAUAUCAGGAGGAACACCGGUGGCGAAGGCGGGUCUCUGGGCCGUAACUGACGCUGAGGAGCGAAAGCGUGGGGAGCGAACAGG